GCACUGCGCCCCGCGUCCUCCAAGGCGUCCCGGGACCCCGCGCUGUGUGCUCACGGCCUGGAGAAAGGGAGCUGGGCGAGAGACGUCGGGCUAUCUGACGGAAAGGUCACCCGGUCCCAGAGUGAGGGGACUGCAGAGAUGUUGACACUGAUCCGCCACAAGCCCCAAGAGAUCCUGGUCAGAAUAAACUGACGAAGAAAACAUAAGCAGAGCAGCAAGCCCCCCACGUCAGCAUGGACCUGACAAGGCAGCAGCAGAUGCGCAGACAUCCACAAGGAAGAGACAGGCUGAAUUGGGAGAUAAACACCGGGCCGAGGUUGAAGCACCGUGAGCCUGCUUCUCGAAGUUGUAUGAGUUGCUGAAUCAGCCCGUCUGAGUCGGAUCGGAAGAGGGUCUUCUCAUCAAGCAAGUGUGCAAACGUUCCCCUGAUCCCACCUCUGUGCCUUUGCUCAGGCAGUUCCCUCCGCCAAGAAUGCUCUCAUCUCUCCCCUCCAACCUGGGAAAGUCAUGGCCAUGCUGCAGUCCCCUCGCUCUCACAGCUUGUGUGGUCACAGAGCUGGUUUUAUGCUAAAGUUUAGUUGCUAUUUUCUGUGGUCAGUUUCUGAAGGAGGCCAACUGUCAUCUCUGUCCCCUUACAGAGUAUAGUCAGGGGUUUAAGACCUAAUAGAGCCUGGACUGGCCAAUGUAAAUAUAACGAGAGCCACAUUAUAAUUUUUAAUUUUCUAGUAACACUUAACAGUUAUUACAUGUCACUUAAAAUCAAAAAGAAACAGGCGAAAUUAAUUAGAAUAAGAUAUUUUAACCAAUAUUAAGGUGACCAACUGUCCUGGUUUGCCCAGGACUUAGGAGUUUCCUGGGAUACAGACAUUUCAUUUCAGUAAUAAAACCAGGAAUGUCUCUGGCAAACCAGAUUAAGUUGGUCACUCUACUUAAUAAAUCCAAAAAGCUAUAAUUUCAACACAAGAGUAUUUUUAAAUAUAUUAUUCAGACCCAAUUCAGUGCCCAAUAGCUUUCUUUGGCUACUGGUGGCUCAUAUUAGACAAUGUAGGUAUAGAGAGAUGCUUGAUAUUGAAAUAAACCAGUUAAUACGUUGGAGAUCCAUGAUGCUCUCACCAGGGUCCUGACCUUGGGACCCCCCACCCCUAUAUGGGAAACCCUCGUCCACACUUCAGGAACCCCAGUUCCAUCAGAGGGGUCCCAGGUGAACCCGUGUUCUUUGGUGGCAUCCUGGGGUCCACUACUAAAGCAGCAUGUCAGGAUAUUCAUAACAGUAAUAAUAAUAGAAAUAAUACUAAUAGAAGUUCCCGUUUCUUGAGUACUGGCAUUUUCUCAUGUAAUCAUCACAACCACCCCAGGAGGUGUUGUUAUUACCCCUGUUUUGUAGGUAAGGAAACUGAGGCUGAGCAGAGUAGUCAUAUGCCUAAGGUCACAGAGUGACAGAGACCGGGUACUAAGCAAGGGAGUAGUCAUGACUGAGAGCAGGGACCUGGGGCUGUCCUUGACUGCUUCCUUACCUGAAACCUACGGGCAUACCUCCUAGGAGUUUCCGAUAAAUGAAGAACUGUGUGUACAGCACUUAACAUGUACAUGUCUGCCGAGAGAGCUGAUACUGCUAUGAGGGUGCUGAUGAUGCUGUGAUAAUAUCGUGAUAGUGUCGUGAUUGUGAUUCUGAUACGAGUGCACAUCAGAGUGAAGACUGAAAGUUCCAGAUUUAGAAGCCCGCUUUCCAAAGGGAACAGAGAUGGAGAACCAGGACUUGCAGAAUGAAUCUGUGUCCUCCCCAGCUGCAUCCUUCCCCCAGGGCGGGGCCUUCUCCCUUGUAAUUUUAUACCAGUGUCCACACCCUGCCAGAAAGAAAGAGAAGCAAAAUAAAAAAGAGAAUAUUUGCUUUGCCUCUG
Long non-coding RNA from Equus caballus (horse), 1898 nucleotides. RefSeq lists it as uncharacterized. NCBI's taxonomy places the organism in Eukaryota, Metazoa, Chordata, Mammalia, Perissodactyla, Equidae. The record is from RefSeq and is a predicted model, not a curated record.